UACAGCCAUAUCACAUUGAAACACCAGUUCUUGUUCAAUCACCAAAGUUAAGCAAUAUUGAGCAUGGUCAAUACCUAGAUGGGUGACUGCUUGGGAAUAUCAGGUGCU
RNAcentral lists this ribosomal RNA (108 nucleotides) under Acanthosepion pharaonis. The record is from RNAcentral. Lineage: Eukaryota; Metazoa; Mollusca; Cephalopoda; Sepiida; Sepiidae.